GCUAACUCCGGGCCACGUGGCGGUGUAAUACGGAGGGUGCAUGUGUUAUCCGGUUUUAUUGGGUUUAAAGGGGCCGUAGGCGGAUAUAUAAUUCAGUGGGAAAAGCCGACAGCUUAACUGAUGAACUGUCGGGGAAACUGUAGGUCUUGAGUAAAUUUGAAGUGGCUGGAAUAAGUAGUGUAGCGGUGAAAUGCAUAGAUAUUACUUAGAACACCAAUUGCGAAGGCAGGUCACUAAGAUUUAACUGACGCUGAUGGACGAAAGCGUGGGGAGCGAACAGGAUUAGAUACCCCAGUCGUC
Molecule: ribosomal RNA, 300 nt
Filed under: uncultured Pelosinus sp.
Lineage: Bacteria; Bacillati; Bacillota; Negativicutes; Selenomonadales; Sporomusaceae
Description: bacterial SSU rRNA
Rfam family: Bacterial small subunit ribosomal RNA
Source: RNAcentral